AUCGUCCCAGGUGCAGCAGAGGUUCACCUGCACCUCCUCCACCUCAUCUAUUGCAUCAGCUGCUCCAGAUGUCAGCUGCUCUACAUCGGUGAGACCAAGCGUUGCUUGGCGAUCGCUUAGCCGAACACCUCAGUUCGGUUCAUAAUAACCAACCUGAUCUCCCGGUGGCUCAGCACUUCAACUCCCCCUUCCAUUCCGAAUCCGACCUUACUGUCCUGGGCCUCCUCCAUGGCCACAGUGAGCAACAGCGGAAAUUGGAGGAACAGCACCUC
Amblyraja radiata (thorny skate) is the source of this 272-nucleotide long non-coding RNA. RefSeq lists it as uncharacterized. The transcript has 3 exons. NCBI's taxonomy places the organism in Eukaryota, Metazoa, Chordata, Chondrichthyes, Rajiformes, Rajidae. The record is from RefSeq and is a predicted model, not a curated record.